RNAcentral lists this ribosomal RNA (770 nucleotides) under uncultured bacterium. RNAcentral's name for it is "bacterial SSU rRNA". It matches the Rfam family "Bacterial small subunit ribosomal RNA", at positions 1 to 774 of the family's 1533-position model. The record is from RNAcentral.
CCCUUAGAGUUUGAUCCUGGCUCAAGAUGAACGCUGGCGGCGUGCUUAACACAUGCAAGUCGAACGGGGAACAUUUUAUGGAAGCUUCGGUGGAAAUAGCUUGUUCCUAGUGGCGGACGGGUGAGUAACGCGUGGGUAACCUGCCUCACACUGGGGGAUAACAGUCAGAAAUGACUGCUAAUACCGCAUAAGCGCACGGGAUUGCAUGAUCCAGUGUGAAAAACUCCGGUGGUGUGAGAUGGACCCGCGUUGGAUUAGCCAGUUGGCAGGGUAACGGCCUACCAAAGCGACGAUCCAUAGCCGGCCUGAGAGGGUGGACGGCCACAUUGGGACUGAGACACGGCCCAGACUCCUACGGGAGGCAGCAGUGGGGAAUAUUGCACAAUGGGGGAAACCCUGAUGCAGCGACGCCGCGUGAAGGAAGAAGUAUCUCGGUAUGUAAACUUCUAUCAGCAGGGAAGAAAAUGACGGUACCUGACUAAGAAGCCCCGGCUAACUACGUGCCAGCAGCCGCGGUAAUACGUAGGGGGCAAGCGUUAUCCGGAUUUACUGGGUGUAAAGGGAGCGUAGACGGAGCAGCAAGUCUGAUGUGAAAGGCGGGGGCUCAACCCCCGGACUGCAUUGGAAACUGUUGAUCUUGAGUACCGGAGAGGUAAGCGGAAUUCCUAGUGUAGCGGUGAAAUGCGUAGAUAUUAGGAGGAACACCAGUGGCGAAGGCGGCUUACUGGACGGUAACUGACGUUGAGGCUCGAAAGCGUGGGGAGCAAACA